This 241-nucleotide unclassified non-coding RNA is filed under the name Filobasidium oeirense. RNAcentral's name for it is "partial internal transcribed spacer 2". The record is from RNAcentral. Lineage: Eukaryota; Fungi; Basidiomycota; Tremellomycetes; Filobasidiales; Filobasidiaceae.
AACCCUCAAACCCAAGUUUUGGAUUUCGGUCCAUGCUUGAGUUUGGAUUUGGACGUUUGCCGGUGAUGAACCGACUCGUCUUAAAAGUAUUAGCUGGAUCUGUCUAUAUGACUGGUUUGACUUGGCAUAAUAAGUAUUUUGCUGAGGACAUCUUCGGAUGGCCAGGACCUAGACUAUUGUCUGCUAACUAAACCAUCACUUUAAGUGCAUCUUUGGAUGUUACUAAUUGUGUAACUUUGAC